Molecule: long non-coding RNA, 919 nt
Organism: Capsella rubella
Lineage: Eukaryota; Viridiplantae; Streptophyta; Magnoliopsida; Brassicales; Brassicaceae
Exons: 3
Source: RefSeq, a predicted model, not a curated record
AUGAGGGUAUAUUAUUGGUAUUCACUUACUUUAUGCUUAUUGGCUCAGUUUUACUAAUUCUUCAUGUCUCUCCUCUUGUUCAAGUCAUGUCUUUCCUCUUGAUAGUGAUGCAGAAGAUUCAAGAAAGAGCUUACAAUGGAGGGAGAAAAUCCUCGUCAAUGUCAAGCUGUUCCCAGUCACAAGACAAAAUCAGAUAUACAUCACAAGAAAAAGGCAGAGAUAUUACAACACCCACUUCUCAAAAUGGAAGCACUUGGUCCCAAAGGUGAAUUGAAAACACAAAAAAAAUGCAAUAGAAACUCGAGUUUAGAUGAGUCAAAGUUCCUCUUACCAGGAGAUGGAAUUGCCAAGAGUUUUCCUGCUAACAUUCCUGCUUAUAGAAAAGUGUGACAGUUGGCGAGACAGUAAAAGCUCGAAGGUCACUCCAUCAAAUGGUUCUGCAUAGUAUCCAUGGAUCGCAGAGGCAUAUUCUCAAAGGUUACAACAGUCCUUGCAGCUGAAAGCAUCACAUGUUUUGCGCAGGUGGAUCUAAUCUUGGGAUGAUCGAGUGGUUUUAGCUGGCCAAAAUCAACAGAUGAUGCUCAAGUUCUUGAGUGUUAAAGCCAAAAGACUCACGUUCUUGGCCAUGUUUUUUCUUCUUACUUUUUUCUUUGAUUCAUUGUUUCUUUUGCUUGCGUGCUUCAUUACGUUCUUGCUUUGUUACUUGCUAUAUUCAGUUUGCUUUUGCUGCUUCUUUGAUUCCUCUGCUUUGUGUAUUGCUUGUUUCUUUGCUUCUUUGAUUCCUCUUUUGUGCUUCCUUGAUUCUUCUGUUUAUUACAUUGUUUGUUCUUUUGAUUCCUCUGCUUAGUGUAUUAAGUGUUUCUUUGCUUCUUAGAUUCUUCUUCUGUAUAAUAAAUUGUUUGUGCUUUUUUGGGCUCAA